This 737-nucleotide ribosomal RNA is filed under the name uncultured alveolate. Its description in RNAcentral is "bacterial SSU rRNA". It matches the Rfam family "Eukaryotic small subunit ribosomal RNA", at positions 50 to 925 of the family's 1831-position model. The record is from RNAcentral.
CAUGCACGUCUAAGUACAAACUAAAUGAUGGUGAAACUGCAAAUGGCUCAUUACAACGGUUAUGAUGUACCCGGGAGUUCCGAUGGAUAUUUCCAGUAACACUAGAACUAAUACAUGCUCCUGCGUUUAUUAGUUUCGCACAGUCCGUCGCUGGGUCAUGGUAAACAGUUGAUCGACUCGACGUCCCGGAACAGUUUCCGCCCCAUCAGCUUCGAUGGUUGGGUAUUGGCCUACCAUUGCAACAACGGGUAACGAGGAAUUAGGGUUUGAUUUCGGAGAGGGAGCCUGAGAAACGGCUACCACAUCUACGGAUGGCAGCAGGCGCGCAAAUUACCCAAUGCAGACUCUGUGAGGUAGUGACGAGAAAUAAUAAAGCGGGACUUCUGUUUCGCUAUUAUAAUGAGGAAUAACCAAAGGUCAUUCCGAUUAGCAACUGAUGGGAAAGUCUGGUGCCAGCAGCCGCGGUAAUACCAGCGUCAGUAGCAUAUAUUAAAAUUGUUGCAGUUAAAACGUCCGUAGUCUGUACGUCGUCCCAAACUCACUGCAGUCUUCCGUUUUCUUCAUUGAAUGCGGUAGUUUCUGCAGUCACUCCCUUGAUCAAAUUAGGUUGUUCAAGGUAGACCAAGUCUUCAUAUUUUCACAUGGAAUUGGGUGAGGGAACUUAAGAGUUUAAGUUUCUCGUCUUAGGAUCAUCCGGGGUCAUUCGUACUCGUCCGCGAGAGGUGAAAUUCUUGGAC